Cephus cinctus (wheat stem sawfly) is the source of this 2489-nucleotide long non-coding RNA. RefSeq lists it as uncharacterized. The record is from RefSeq and is a predicted model, not a curated record. Lineage: Eukaryota; Metazoa; Arthropoda; Insecta; Hymenoptera; Cephidae. The transcript has 3 exons.
AUUCCGUUGUAUGUCCAUUCCAUUAGAGAAUCUGAACAAGAAUCGUGCCACCUUCUAAGCACUUCUAUUUUCCCAAUACUCCGUGCGAUUUUCGGCCGUAAAAUUUUCGCCGUGUCCCGGCAAGAAUUCGAAUUUCUCAGUAACUCUAGCGACCAAUCACAUUCCUCCUAAAGUUCCAUUGGUUCUGCUCUAACAGAAAUCAUGCCACCUCCAUGCGUAUCCUAUUCUCCUGAUACUAAAACUCGAUUUUUAGGGGUCUAAAUUUCUAAAGUGCCCGUGAAAUCUAGACCCUUAGUACGAGACAGUAAUGUUAGAUGGCAACAGUGGCGACUAGAAUUAACACUGUUUUGAAUAUAUAUCUAUAUAUAUAUAUAUAUAUCUGACAUUAUGCGUAAUGCUACAGAGUAGGACAUAUGGCAAACAAACUUCUACAGAGGCAACAGGUUACAUAUCAGCGACGCGUGCAUUCUUAUCUUACGCGCUAAAUAUAAUCCAAACCGAGACACAUGCGUAAUUGCACGUCAUGUCGUUGGGCACUGCAAAUCAUAUAGUUGAAUAAAAAAUUGUGGUAAUAUGCUUAAUUAAUUAAAACAAAGCCAUCGUACACAAUCGUAUCCAAUUAAAACAAUCAUUAAAUCAUAUUUGAUCUUCUUUAUCUGUUUGCCAAAGACUUAAACAAAUUAUACCAACGGGCAAUGUAAAUUUAUAUAAGUAUUUUAUUUUUCCAACCUCCUCGCAAUUUAUUCAUCCAAGACCGUAGUCCGGUGGGAAAGUGUUCUUCUAAGACGUUUCUCCAGAGGAUUUCCUCCCAAAGAUCCGCCCAUUUUAAAUAUUCAUAAAGGUAAAAUAAUCAUGAAGCAUAAUAAACUUUGGAAUACUUACGUAACGACCUAUCUGUAUAAAAUAGCCUAAAACAUAAUUCUACACGCGUACACCCAGACGCGUACUCUUAUACCUGAAGUUGGUUAGGUCGAAUUUGCAACGCCGUCGAGGGCCUUUACAGAACAGGCAGAGAGCAACAUGUCUUAUUUACGCUGAAGUGGUUGUCGGCCAACUUAGCAUGCAGCCAUCAUCCAAUCUAGUAGGACAAUUUAAGCAGCCUGAUUCACGCAGCGAAAUCAUUUAAUAUUUGACGUCAAGCUUGAUUACCGUGUAACAGUGGGUAAUGGCCGAUUGUUUAUACAGGUUGCAGCCCGGCGCCGUACUAUCAGACACAACCUACGCGAUACAAGUAACGAAAACAUACAUACAUAUAUAAACCACAGAAAGACCCUUGAGCGCUUAGAAAAUUUUAUAAAAGAAGAUUGUCCUGGGCUUCAUAGGAAGAAACGACUGCUCCAUUUCCUUUCUACUGGUACAUAAACCGAGAGUACAAGGAGGACGGAAAGCCGAGUGUUGACACUAGGAGAGCAGAUAAGAUAGCAGCUGCACCCAACCAAUCGGCUCUCGUACCAACAUCGUUACGCACGUCACUGUUGCUAACUGUCGCUGUGUACACAGUAGAAAAAUUUAUUUAAACUCGUCUUACAAUAGUUUUGUCACCUGGCGUCAAUCCGGGGUCACGCGGAUUCCUUAAUGAGUGUAGAAAUUCUUCUGCAGCAUACUCAUAUCCUCUGGUAGCAGCCACGCAAUUUGAUAUACGUCCAUAUACGUAUAGUACCUGAUUGGACCUUCAUAACUUACACGAUCUUUCCUCUUCCUCUACAACCAGUGCUUCGUUCUGAUCCUGGGUCGUUCUCCUCUUCUGGAAGUUUUUUUUUAAUAAUUUCUUGUCACCCUGCAUAUAUAUAUAUACGUAUACAUAAUAUGGGAUAUAAAGUCACGUGAUAAUUUCUCACGCCACAACUUCGUAACUGGCCGACGGAGAACUCACGCAAUGGAUUUUACUAAUUGUAAGUUUUCUUACAAACGUGUGAAGAAGAAUUCAAUAGUGCCAACUUGUUUGACAAAUAUAGUUAUGCGAUUCCUCCUUGGGAGUUAUGUUAAAUUUAAUGGAUGUUUAAUAAGAGGAGAUGGUAAUUUACUGUAGCCAAUUGGAUAGAAAUAAUUUUUAUAUUCCCAUGGAAUGUACAUACGCGCCACUUGUUACUAUGUAUACUGAUAAUUUAGGCGUUGAAAAGAAAUAUAAGGAUUAAGUGCGACAGUCUUGAGUACGUUAAACGAACAUAAUUCAGUUAUCUCGUGGGUGAUGGUUUAAAUUGUAUGUUCGUUAACAUUCAGAUAUCUUAUUUAUUUGUUCUCUUGCAUCAUUGUACAUUGUUGAUGAUUUUGUGAGCUGUAGAAAUAUUUAUCCGUAUCACUAAUUCGUACUGGUGAGACUGAAUGAGGUUUUGAGGAUUGAAAUGCCUUCUUGAGGAGUAUUAUACAAAGUUAUAACGUGGAUAUGUUCGUUAUCGGUAUUUUCAUAUGAAACUCUAUGACGUGACGCGUGUGACUUUGUAAGCUAAACAUAAUAAAAGUGCAAGAGCCUCGUUCUCUUUCAACUAAAA